This 553-nucleotide ribosomal RNA is filed under the name uncultured Archaeospora. Its description in RNAcentral is "SSU rRNA". It matches the Rfam family "Eukaryotic small subunit ribosomal RNA", at positions 548 to 1103 of the family's 1831-position model. Lineage: Eukaryota; Fungi; Glomeromycota; Glomeromycetes; Archaeosporales; Archaeosporaceae. The record is from RNAcentral.
UUGGAGGGCAAGUCUGGUGCCAGCAGCCGCGGUAAUUCCAGCUCCAAUAGCGUAUAUUAAAGUUGUUGCAGUUAAAAAGCUCGUAGUUGAAUUUCGGAUUCUUCCAAUUGGUCCAUCUUUUAGAUGAGUACUGGUUGUGUGGGGUCUAUCCGCCUGGUGACACGUAAUGUCCUUUAUUGGAUGUUGCGGGUAGUCAGGACCUUUACCUUGAAAAAAUUAGAGUGUUUAAAGCAGGCUUAUGCCGGAAUACAUUAGCAUGGAAUAAUAGAAUAGGACGAAGUUGUUUUAUUUUGUUGGUUUCUAGGACAACCGUAAUGAUUAAUAGGGAUAGUUGGGGGCAUUAGUAUUCAAUUGUCAGAGGUGAAAUUCUUGGAUUUAUUGAAGACUAACUACUGCGAAAGCAUUUGCCAAGGAUGUUUUCAUUAAUCAAGAACGAAAGUUAGGGGAUCGAAGACGAUCAGAUACCGUCGUAGUCUUAACCAUAAACUAUGCCGACUAGGGAUCGGGCGAUGUUGUUUCCAUGACUCGCUCGGCACCUUAUGGGAAACCAAAG